UGAAGAUCAGGCCAACCCACAUCCAUAAUCUUUGGGUUAAGCUUGGUAAGGUCAUACCUCUUUUCAGAAAGGUUUAGUACCAGGUAAUUAUUCCCAUGUUUGGAUUUGAGCAUUCGUGUUACAUCUUGUAGAUUGUGGAGGUACGUUUCCUCAGAACAGUCAGCAGGGAAGGACACAGCAAUGAUCCGUUCUGUGAUGUAAGUG
Molecule: long non-coding RNA, 204 nt
Filed under: Gallus gallus (chicken)
Lineage: Eukaryota; Metazoa; Chordata; Aves; Galliformes; Phasianidae
Source: RNAcentral